This 353-nucleotide ribosomal RNA is filed under the name uncultured soil bacterium. RNAcentral describes it as "bacterial SSU rRNA". It matches the Rfam family "Bacterial small subunit ribosomal RNA", at positions 512 to 863 of the family's 1533-position model. The record is from RNAcentral.
CAGCCGCGGUAAUACAGAGGGGGCAAGCGUUGUUCGGAAUUACUGGGCGUAAAGGGCGCGUAGGCGACCUUUAAAGUCGAACGUGAAAUCCCCGGGGUCAACCCGGGAAGUGCGUACGAUACUGGAAGGCUUGAAUCCGGGAGAGGAAUUCGGAAUUCCAGGUGUAGCGGUGAAAUGCGUAGAUAUCUGGAGGAACACCGGUGGCGAAGACGGCAUCCUGGACCGACAUUGACGCUGAGGCGCGAAAGCCAGGGGAGCAAACGGGAUUAGAUACCCCGGUAGUCAUGGCCCUAAACGAUGAAUGCUUGGUGUGGCGGGUAUCGAUCCCUACCGUGCCGAAGCUAACGCAUUAA